UUCAUACUUUACAACCACAAUUAAACUGACAUAGAAGUUUUUUCAUAAUUCCUCUUUUCUCCACUCAAGGCGCCGCCUGACUCAGAUUUGUAUCUCUCCGGUGGCUGGGCUCAUCGCCGGCGCCGGAGAGACCCCCUCUCUCUUCUUUUCUUUUAUUUGGCUUGUCGAUGUGGUGGUAUUAUCUGGCUUUGGAGAAGGUGACGAGUCUUGUCGGAUUCCCAUGUCUUCCGUGGUCGUUUUCUGGCCCUUGUUCAAGUAUUUCGUUUUGGCCUUUGUCCAAGAGGAGCUUGUGCGGUAGGGAGUUUUCUUGUUUCAUGAGAUUGUGUCCUCUUUGGAUCGUAUUUGAUUCAGCGUAAUAUGAUAUUCAAAGGGCUUUGUGUUGUUGAGUUAGGUUUUGUUGGUCUAUGUUAUUUGUUGGGUAGCUUAGUUUCUCUCGCAACUGAAUAGUUUAUUGUCGGCUUUAGGUUCUUCGUUGCCCUUCAUCAAUCUCAAGACCUUGUUGAUGCUUGUUCUCGGUUCUUGUCAGAGAGUGUUAUGAAGAUUAGCUAAUCUUAGCUUGCCGGAUUAUGAAGAGGUGGUCUCUUAUUAUUUUGCGAGUAGGAAGAUGUAUCUUGAUUUGCUGUGGACAUCAAUCGUAUGUAGCAACAAGGGUCCUACUUGGCUGUAUCAGUUACUGCCGUUGGAGUCGUAUGUGAGACUCAUCGUAAGAGAAGAGAGGUUUAAGAGCAACUCCGUUCUUCGUGCUUGGUGUCUCACAAUCUCACGCCUCUCUUUGAUCUUUGAAUUUACAUUUUCCCACAUUUGGAUGGGAUUAAUUCAUGAUGCCUAUUGGUGUUUUUUCUAUUUAAAUUUUAUUACUAGCCGGUUUGGCUCAGUGUUGUAAGAACAUUUUGAAAUACAAGCGUUAAAAAAAAAGGUAGGCCGUGGUUA
This is a long non-coding RNA of Brassica oleracea var. oleracea, 930 nucleotides long. RefSeq lists it as uncharacterized. NCBI's taxonomy places the organism in Eukaryota, Viridiplantae, Streptophyta, Magnoliopsida, Brassicales, Brassicaceae. The transcript is spliced from 2 exons. The record is from RefSeq and is a predicted model, not a curated record.